AGUGAACGCUGGCGGUAGGCCUAACACAUGCAAGUCGAACGGCAGCACAGUAAGAGCUUGCUCUUACGGGUGGCGAGUGGCGGACGAGUGAGGAAUACAUCGGAAUCUACUUUUUCGUGGGGGAUAACGUAGGGAAACUUACGCUAAUACCGCAUACGACCUACGGGUGAAAGCAGGGGAUCUUCGGACCUUGCGCGAUUGAAUGAGCCGAUGUCGGAUUAGCUAGUUGGCGGGGUAAAGGCCCACCAAGGCGACGAUCCGUAGCUGGUCUGAGAGGAUGAGCAGCAACACUGAAACGGAGAAACGGUCCAGACUCCUACGGGAGGCAGAAGUGGGGAAUAUGGGAAAAGGGGCGCAAGCCUGAUCCACCCAUCCCGCGGGGGUAAAAAAGGCGUGGGGUUUAAAAAGCCUUUUUGUGGGAAAAAAAAAGCAGAAGGUAAAUACCCCCCUGUUCUGACGGUACAAAAAGAAUAAGCACCGGAAAACUUCGUG
This 492-nucleotide ribosomal RNA is filed under the name uncultured bacterium. RNAcentral describes it as "partial 16S ribosomal RNA". It matches the Rfam family "Bacterial small subunit ribosomal RNA", at positions 29 to 507 of the family's 1533-position model. The record is from RNAcentral.